Molecule: long non-coding RNA, 246 nt
Organism: Perca fluviatilis (European perch)
Lineage: Eukaryota; Metazoa; Chordata; Actinopteri; Perciformes; Percidae
Exons: 3
Source: RefSeq, a predicted model, not a curated record
GUUGACUGUUGUGUUUUCAGCAGUUUGGUGUUCCUCUUCAUUGGAUCUGCUUUCAUGUCACCAGUCUAAUCCUCUGGACCCCCUGUUCAGCGUUAACAGGGGAAGGUGAAGAAUGAAAGAUCUAGAGCAGCUGAAGAAACCUGGCAACAUCCUCCCCUUGAAAGAGCUCUUGAUCUGCUGUAGCAGUCUGAUCUCCCUUCUGGCUUCGCUCCCCUCUCCCUCCUUCACUUCUUCAACUGCAUAAAA